This 238-nucleotide unclassified non-coding RNA is filed under the name plant metagenome. RNAcentral's name for it is "partial contains small subunit ribosomal RNA and internal transcribed spacer 1". The stretch from base 1 to 46 matches the Rfam family "Eukaryotic small subunit ribosomal RNA", at positions 1786 to 1831 of the family's 1831-position model. The record is from RNAcentral.
AAGUCGUAACAAGGUUUCCGUAGGUGAACCUGCGGAAGGAUCAUUAAAUACAGUAGAUUUCUACUGAUCGGGGGGGUGGAAAGUCCCAGUUUAAUUACUGGAUCACGAGUAAGCCCCCUGUCUGCACCCUUGUCUUUUGCGUACUCAUGUUUCCUCGGCGGGCAAAUAGCUGCCGAAUGGACAAUUCUAAAACCUUUUUAAUUUUCAAUCAGCGUCUGAAUAAUUAUAAUAAUUACAA